RNAcentral lists this long non-coding RNA (1169 nucleotides) under Homo sapiens (human). Its description in RNAcentral is "non-protein coding lnc-LRRC10B-1:5". The record is from RNAcentral. Lineage: Eukaryota; Metazoa; Chordata; Mammalia; Primates; Hominidae.
CUCAGCUUUCAACAGAUCAGGUCUCAGUUUCCUGCCUUCCUGGGAAGUGGGGAAAGGCUGAGAGGCCCCGUGCUGGGGGUGAAGCUAAUUCAUUAGUUACGCCUCAACAAGGACCGGGUGCCUGCAGUGCCAGCGUGAUUCAUCAUGAUGAUUGCCCCACUGCCAGCCUGCGUGGGCCUGGAACGCCAGCACAUUUUACCUUUACCCACUGAGAAGGGCCUGGUGGGAGGUGAAGGUACAGGAUCUGCCGAGAGCAAGAAAAAGACUCUGAGAAAGAAGAGGGCUGGUCCUCCAUGCUCUCGGCCCCAGGAAGCUCUGCCAGGCUGGUGCCGGGGUGGAGAGGCUCAUGUGGGCUCAUGUGGUGCUGCCUGUGCUGAUGGAGCCCAAGAGGGCAGCCUGGCGCUGGGUGCCAGCCUGAGCAUGUGGCGAGGCUGGGCUGCUGAGCCUCCUCCUCCACAGCCAAUGUUCCCUCAAACUGCUUGGGGGUGGGGGGAGGGACUCAUCCUCAUCCCAUUAGCCUGGCUGGGUAUUCCCUACCUUUCUGGUCUCUGAGAGACUUACCUCUUCCAAGAAGUCCUCCCGAAUGAGUAGAAGGGAGAGAGCUGGAUUGGAACUUAAGUGACAUCUGGGAGGAGCCUGAAGCCCCUCCGGUUGGGGCUGAGACUCCUAUACCCUAGGUCUGGUGUCUGGGUUCCACCUGGGUCCUCUACCUUGGCCUGGAUUCCUGCUUUCGUUUUGCCAGUCUCUCCCAGGAUGGGGGUGCAUGGCUGGUUCGUGGCUCAGAGCAACAUCUGCCUCUGUGUCCCCCCAUCAUCUGUCCGCCCCCUAACACCUCUUGCCAUAUUAGAAUUGCUAUUGCUCUGUCCUUUCAUUCAUGUAUCCAACAAAUAUAUAUUAUCUGAAAAAAAGCAUGUGCUGAAUAAUUUCAUUUGUGUGAAAUUCAAGAACAGGGAAAACUGAUCCAUAAGGAUAGAGGUCAGGAUCAUAGUUGCCUCUGUGAGGUGGGGAUUGACCGCAAGAGGCUUGAGAGAACUCUUGGGUUGAUGGAAAUGGGACAGGGGUGUGUACAUUUGUCAAAACGCAUCCAAGAAGACACUUACGAUCUAUGCAUUUCACUGUAUGCAAUGUUUGCCUCCACUUUUUUUGUUAAGUUUUUUUCAGCAAGGCGC